RNAcentral lists this ribosomal RNA (256 nucleotides) under uncultured bacterium. RNAcentral's name for it is "partial 16S ribosomal RNA". It matches the Rfam family "Bacterial small subunit ribosomal RNA", at positions 524 to 777 of the family's 1533-position model. The record is from RNAcentral.
CACGUAGGGUGCGAGCGUUGUCCGGAAUUAUUGGGCGUAAAGAGCUCGUAGGCGGUGUGUCGCGUCGGCCGUGAAAACCUGCAGCUUAACUGUGGGCUUGCGGUCGAUACGGGCAUCACUGGAGUUCGGCAGGGGAGACUGGAAUUCCUGGUGUAGCGGUGAAAUGCGCAGAUAUCAGGAGGAACACCGGUGGCGAAGGCGGGUCUCUGGGCCGGUACUGACGCUGAGGAGCGAAAGCGUGGGGGAGCGAACAGGA